This 589-nucleotide ribosomal RNA is filed under the name Ilyonectria destructans. RNAcentral describes it as "SSU rRNA". It matches the Rfam family "Bacterial small subunit ribosomal RNA", at positions 386 to 927 of the family's 1533-position model. Lineage: Eukaryota; Fungi; Ascomycota; Sordariomycetes; Hypocreales; Nectriaceae. The record is from RNAcentral.
ACUUGGAGAAGUGGCAAGUUUUAUAAUUAAUAGUAAUUAAUAUUUCUAUUUUUAUAAAAUUCUAUUAGAAUUGAAUGAAGCUUUGUUUAUAUAUUGAUAAUGACAGUAUAUAUAUCGUGUCUUGACUAAUUGCGUGCCAGCAGUCGCGGUAAUACGUAAGAGACUAGUGUUAUUCAUCUUAAUUAGGUUUAAAGGGUACCCAGACGGUCAAUAUAUCUUCUAUAAUGUUAGUACUUGACUAGAGUUUUAUGUAAGAGGGCAGUACUUGAGGAGGAGAGAUGAAAUUUCGUGAUACCAAAGGGACUCUGUAAAGGCGAAGGCAGCCCUCUAUGUAGAAACUGACGUUGAAGGACGAAGGCACAGAGAACAAACAGGAUUAGAUACCCAAGUAGUCUUUGCAGUAAAUGAUGAAUGCCAUAGGUCAGAUCUAAAUUUAAUGUUUAUAGAUUAUGUGAAGGCCUUAAUUGGCAACUUUGCAAAAAUUAUAAAUAUUAAAAAUUAUUUGGUCUAUAAAUGAAAGUGUAAGCAUUUCACCUCAAGAGUAAUGUGGCAACGCAGGAACUGAAAUCACUAGACCGUUUCUGACACC